This 665-nucleotide long non-coding RNA is filed under the name Oryctolagus cuniculus (rabbit). Its description in RNAcentral is "lncRNA (ENSOCUG00000037115.1)". The record is from RNAcentral. Lineage: Eukaryota; Metazoa; Chordata; Mammalia; Lagomorpha; Leporidae.
GUGUGAAUAUAUUUUUAACAACUAAUUUUUGUAUUGCUUAAUGAUUAUAACAUGAUUAUAUUAUUUUUUAAAUAACAUGAUUAUAACACCGAUAAUUUAAACUAUAAAUGGUGAUGCAAGACAUUUAUGGAUCUUCUAACUUCUUUUCCUUAGUUUGGAAAUGUCAGCCCUGUGGUGAUGGCUGGCAGCAGCACGGGAAGCACUGCUACUCUUUCUCUAGAGAGCAGAUUCCGUGGAGCAGUUGUGAACUUCACUGUUCUCCUUUACGUUCAAGUUUUCUUAAGAUAAGCACGGAAGGAGAGAUGGAGUUUGUAAAAAGAAUGUCAAAGAAGCAGUGUUUUUUGUAUGAGGACAAGUUCGGGUUCAGUUUAUACUACAAUAGCAGCCAAAUGAAAUGGGUGUGGCUAGAUGGUUCAGCUUUUAUUCUGGACAAGUAAGUAUCCUCCUACUGUCUUAGAGCACCAAUUGCAGGAUGAGCACCUUACUUAGCUCAUUUCAUAUGAUCAGAUGUUAAAUUCCAUGUCUGGUCGUUUCAUGAAAAGUUAAAAGAGAAAUCAUUGGAUGAGGAGGAAACAUAACAAAGUACACUUAUUUCAGCAGCAUGCUAAGAAGUUUACUGAUGAAAUCUAAAUAAAUGUCCUGUCAAAUCUUAAGGGUUUUUAAUU